Molecule: long non-coding RNA, 552 nt
Organism: Eptesicus fuscus (big brown bat)
Lineage: Eukaryota; Metazoa; Chordata; Mammalia; Chiroptera; Vespertilionidae
Exons: 4
Source: RefSeq, a predicted model, not a curated record
CCAGGAACAGCCAGGAGACCCUCAGAGGCGGUCACAGCGUCCUCUGCCCAAAAGCCUCCCUGAGCCACGUCAUCCUUCCUGUAACCCGCAGCCUCAGCAUGCACUCUCUGACCACAGUCUGCUGGCCUGGGUGCUCAGCCUCACUCCCAGCCUCUCUCGGAACACGGAACACGGAGGCCUCUUCCUUGGGGACCCAGCCCCGGCGCCAGAAGCAAGCCUCUUUCCGUUCCCAGUUGCUGGCCAAACCUCAGCUCCUCAUCCAUCCACAAGCUUCCUGCUGGCUCCUGCUUAGCAGGCCCAGAUCAGACAGCAGCUGGCAACCAACAGAGCACUACUCUGUCAGGCCUUGUGCAGAGAGCUGGAGGCAAACUGCUCACUUAAUCCAUGAGCUCCUCAGCUCUGCCUCCAAAACGGGCACUCGGAUUCAGCCACAUCUCAUCACACGUUCCUCCAUCAGCCCUUGCCUGGACGCUGCAUGACCUCCUUGCUGGCCUCCGUGUUCCCCACCCACCAUUCUCCAUCAGCAACCAAAGGAAAUAAAUGUAAAACUGC